GGAUAUGAUGUUUGCACAUUGCACUGUGUACAGUUUCAUGGAUAAACACGCGCGAGAGUAAUGAAACGGACUAUCCAAAUGCGGCAAAUUUAAACAUUUCCACCACGGUAAUUUUUAAGUGACAGCUCGAGAAACCAAAAUGAGUACUUGUCAAGUAAAAACCUGCAAAAAUGAUCAUCGAAAAAAAGAAUUCAGAAAUGUACAUUUUUAUCGCUUCCCAAAAGAGAAGUCGUUAAUAGUAAAGUGGAAAGAAGCGUGUGGAAAAGAAAAUGUCAACGUUAAAAAUGGACGCAUCUGUUCCGCCCAUUUUGAUGCAGUAGCAUACAAAGAGUCUUCAUGGAUGCGACCCCUUUUAGGUUAUUCACCGCCACAGAAAAGAAAAUUAAAAUUUGAUGCAAUUCCCACGCUGAAUUUAGGAUCAUCAAUCAGCGAAGGUCUUGAUGAAUCUGCAAUGACGCCAGGUACUGCGAUGAAUACAAUACUGCCUGAAGAACAGAUGGAAGUUUCGACUUCAAGACACUCAUUAAAUUCAGGUAAGCAAAUGUGGAGGGUAGGCCAAUUCCUGUAAGAAUGUCUACAUUCAGCAGAGAAAACUAAUCAGCGAGCGCUCAAUGAUUCUUUAAUAAGACUGAUUCUUGUCUUUAGUUCUUCACUGAAUCUAAGUGUAGGAACCAAUCAUAUUGAAAAAUCACUAAUCAGUUUUCUCUGCUAAAUGCAGCUAAAGUCGGUCUUUAAAAAUAUCUCAUGUGUUCCUGUACAUAGAACGUGACAAUGGCCGCGUUUAGCAAAACGUUUAUUUUACAACUGUUGGAAGUUUUCUUCGCCCUGAUUGGAUUAUACAUCAGUGACAGGCCUUAGGGAUUUCAAGCAACACAAACAAAUUCCAAGAAAGCAAAAACAA
Mycetomoellerius zeteki is the source of this 901-nucleotide RNA transcript. RefSeq lists it as uncharacterized. NCBI's taxonomy places the organism in Eukaryota, Metazoa, Arthropoda, Insecta, Hymenoptera, Formicidae. The transcript has 4 exons. The record is from RefSeq and is a predicted model, not a curated record.